RNAcentral lists this ribosomal RNA (475 nucleotides) under Nannizziopsis obscura. Its description in RNAcentral is "partial large subunit ribosomal RNA". It matches the Rfam family "Eukaryotic large subunit ribosomal RNA", at positions 109 to 586 of the family's 3401-position model. Lineage: Eukaryota; Fungi; Ascomycota; Eurotiomycetes; Onygenales; Nannizziopsiaceae. The record is from RNAcentral.
UCAAAUUUGAAAUCUGGCCCCUCUGGGGGUCCGAGUUGUAAUUUGCAGAGGAGACUUCGGGUGCGGUCGCGGUCUAAGUCCCCUGGAACGGGGCGUCGGAGAGGGUGAGAAUCCCGUCUGGGACCGUGGACCUGCCCCGUGUGAAGUUCCUUCGACGAGUCGAGUUGUUUGGGAAUGCAGCUCUAAGUGGGUGGUAAAUUUCAUCUAAAGCUAAAUACCGGCGGGAGACCGAUAGCGCACAAGUAGAGUGAUCGAAAGGUUAAAAGCACCUUGAAAAGGGAGUUAAACAGCACGUGAAAUUGUUGAAAGGGAAGCGCUGGCAGCCAGACAGGGACCCGGGGGCUCAGCGGGCAUGCGUGCCCGUGCACUCCCCCGCGGUCCCGGCCAGCAUCGGUUUCGGCGGCCGGUCAAAGGCCCCGGGAAGGUAUCGUCCUCCGGGACGACUUACAGCCCGGGGUGCAAUGCGGCCAGUCGG